UAUCUAUUGUGGUUUUCCAAUCAAGGCCCAGGGGCUAGGGUUUCUUCAGACAAUCAGGGCCCAAGGUUAAGAUUUCUCUAGAAAUUCAAGGCCCGAGUUUAUGAUUUGCUAGAGAAAAUUGUGCGUCUGUCUUUUUCUAGGAAUUCAUUUUUUACUUUCGCAAUUAUGACGACGACUAACUGAGAAUUACUAGCAUCGUUUGGGUUUAGGGCUUUUCGAUGGCAAAGGAGAACGAAGCGGCUUCGCAAGCCACCGUCAAUGGAGACGAUACUCACGAGAUCUCUACGAUGUCGUCCAUAGGGAUCGGAAGAGGAUGUGUUUUUGCUUAGGGAAACACAUCGAGAAUGUACGAGAUCUCGAUGGUGCCGUCCGAGGGUUCCUCAUUCUCGGCGUGAUGAUAGACUUGUGUUAAUAAGGGAGCUUACUUAACCACUAUGGAGAAUUUCUUGGAUUGGAUUCCAAAAGAGUUCCUAAUAAUCCUGCAGCCAGUCAGUUUGUAGAGGCUUUGGCUAAAGCUUGGACGGAAUACAAUAACCCAAGGGCUGUAGUCAUGUUCGUGGUUCAGGCUGAUGAACGCAACAUGUAUGACCAACACUGGCUUUCUGCUCCAUUGAAAGAAAUAUAU
This is a long non-coding RNA of Prunus dulcis (almond), 625 nucleotides long. RefSeq lists it as uncharacterized. The record is from RefSeq and is a predicted model, not a curated record. The transcript has 4 exons. Lineage: Eukaryota; Viridiplantae; Streptophyta; Magnoliopsida; Rosales; Rosaceae.